UAAUGACAGUAUGGCAGAAUGUAACCACUAACAGUUCCAGGGAGAUAACUACAGUAUGACAGAAUGUAACCAGGGAGAUAACGACAGUAUGACAGAAUGUAACCAAGGGAGACAACGACAAGGGAAAUAACACCAAUAUGACAGAAUGUAGCCACUCAUAGUACAAGGGAGAUGACAGAAAUGUAGCCAAUCAUAGUCCAAGGGAAGUAACACCAACAUGACAGAAUGUAGCCAAUCACAGUCCAAGGGAAAUAACACCAAUAUGACAGAAUGUAGCCAAUCAUAGUCCAAAGGAAAUAACACCAAUAUGACAGAGUGUAACCAAUCAUAGUCCAAAGGAAGUAACACCAAUAUGACAGAAUGCAGCCAAUCAUAGUCCAAGGGAAAUAACACCAAUAUGACAAAAUGUAGCCAAUCAUAGUCCAGGGCAAUAACACCAAUUUGACAGAAUGUAGCCAAUCAUAGUCCAAGGGA
Haliotis rubra (blacklip abalone) is the source of this 474-nucleotide long non-coding RNA. RefSeq lists it as uncharacterized. The transcript is spliced from 2 exons. The record is from RefSeq and is a predicted model, not a curated record. Lineage: Eukaryota; Metazoa; Mollusca; Gastropoda; Lepetellida; Haliotidae.